UACGUAGGGUGCAAGCGUUGCUCGGAAUCAUUGGGCGUAAAGAGCGUGUAGGUGGCUAGAUAAGUCGGGUGUGAAAUCCCUUGGCUCAACCAAGGAAGUGCAUUCGAAACUAUCUAGCUCGAGGAUGGCAGAGGAAGGUGGAAUUCCUAGUGUAGCGGUGAAAUGCGCAGAUAUCAGGAGGAACACCGGUGGCGAAGGCGGGUCUCUGGGCAACAACUGACGCUGAGGAGCGAAAGCGUGGGGAGCGAACAGG
RNAcentral lists this ribosomal RNA (253 nucleotides) under uncultured bacterium. Its description in RNAcentral is "partial 16S ribosomal RNA". It matches the Rfam family "Bacterial small subunit ribosomal RNA", at positions 524 to 776 of the family's 1533-position model. The record is from RNAcentral.